This 247-nucleotide ribosomal RNA is filed under the name uncultured bacterium. RNAcentral's name for it is "partial 16S ribosomal RNA". It matches the Rfam family "Bacterial small subunit ribosomal RNA", at positions 523 to 769 of the family's 1533-position model. The record is from RNAcentral.
AUACGGAGGGUGCGAGCGUUAUUCGGAAUUACUGGGCGUAAAGCGCGUGUAGGCGGCUUGACAAGUCUGAUGUGAAAGCCCUGGGCUCAACCUGGGAAGUGCAUUGGAAACUGUUAGGCUUGAGUACUGGAGAGGAUGGGGGAAUUCCCGGUGUAGAGGUGAAAUUCGUAGAGAUCGGGAGGAAUAUCAGUGGCGAAGGCGCCCAUCUGGACGGUAACUGACGCUGAGACGCGAAAGCGUGGGGAGC